AAUUUUUAUUUAAAUAAAGCGACAUGUGACCACAUAUGGAAGAAUUCGAGGUCUGAUAUUGAGAUCCCAGUUAAUUGUCAUCCUGAAAAAGAAACUUUUCAACGAGACAGCCGAAUGGUGGGACACAUUGUCUGCUAGUAUAUUUAGGGAUGAGUAUCCUAGGUAUCCCACCAUCGAUGAAAUUAGCAUAACGGAAGAUGAAAAGACCUAUUCUGUGGAUUUGAGACCCUUCAUGAACAGCUCUCCGUACACAGUGUUACAUAAUACAUCACUGCCGCGAAUGUUCAGGCUUUUUAGAGGGCUGGGCCUGCGUCAUUUGCCGAUCGUUAAUGAUACUAAUGAGGUAAUCGGAAUGGUUACGAGAAAAGAUCUGGCUCGUUACAGAGUUUGGGUACAUAGGGGUCGUAUGGGUCUUGAUGAGCUACUAAUGUCUAAGGAAAUUUAAUAAAUGGUAAUUAAGCGAUGUCAUAGUAAAAUUUAUUUAUUGACGACUUGUUCUGAUACUAAGUGUAAAUUUGUUUCUUUGUUUUUGUAAUAUACUUUAAUAUUAACCCCA
This is a long non-coding RNA of Agrilus planipennis (emerald ash borer), 556 nucleotides long. RefSeq lists it as uncharacterized. The transcript has 4 exons. The record is from RefSeq and is a predicted model, not a curated record. NCBI's taxonomy places the organism in Eukaryota, Metazoa, Arthropoda, Insecta, Coleoptera, Buprestidae.